CCCUGCGGCACUCAAUAUAUCAUUAAUACCGUAUUUUCCGGCGUAUAAGACGACCCCCAACUUUUCCAGUUAAAAUACAGAGUUUGGGAUAUACUCGCCGUAUAAGACUACCCCUCUUCCAAUGCACACCAAAUAAAAAUUAGCCAUGAUGUACAGUGAGCAGACAGAGCUACACAGCAAGACAUUAAAUAAUAAUGAUAAUAAUUAUCAUUAUUAUUAUUAGCCAAUCAUUACAUUGGCUUCUUCUACCCUUCAAGACCCAAUUCAGACUACUAACAUCUACCUACAAAGCCCUCAAAAAUUCCACUCUUCACUAUAUUUUUUCUUUACUAACAAAUACACACCUUCUUAUUCCCUUUGCUCUGCGAGCGACCAUGAUUUUUUCAUCUGCUUGUUCCUGCAAGUUGUCUUAUCCCUCAGACCCUCCUCCGCUCUGACAUUCUGUUAUACCUCUUCUGUGUUUUUGUCUUUACCCCUUUCUCAAAGACUAUAAGCAAGUUGAAAUAUACUCCCCCCCCCCAUUCUUUUUACACUUUUUUUUUUUUUUACAUUUAGAACUUGCCAAAUAUUUGCAUCAUUAUAUAUAGGCAGCAAAUGUAUUCAAUUCACAAUAACCACAAUUACCAAUCUGUGCCACGGGGUGGCGUAAUUGCUCUUGCAAUCAGACUUCAUAUAUGUUUAUAUGUUUUAUUUCCUGUGUUACUGGGAUAUCAUGCUUUGUGGAAAAAAAGGAAAGGGUGGUUAUUGUUAUGGAACCACAGGUGGCAAUCAGUACCUAAUAUAAUGAAUAAAAAUAAAAAUGGUUUUAUCUUUAUUGCACACAAUGUAACAUAACCUAACAUAAGUGUUUUAAAAUAAAUGAUGAAAAAAAACCUACCACAUUAAUAAUAAAAAAAAAAGGUCUAGAUAUCAGGACCUGUCAUAAAAUAUAAUAUAAAUACCACUAUCAAAGAAAAAAGAAAAUCUGAAAGCAAAAAUAGUAUAGACUAUAGAAUUUUAGUCCUGUCCAGUAGGAUUGCUGGUUGGAGGUCACCCUAGAGUAGUGUUGCCAUGGUCGGGAAAUAUACUUUUUACUCCCCCACCCGCCCGACUGGGAAUGUUAACAAAAAGAGUAGCCGUAAAAUAGCAACAAAAAAUUUUUUUACAAUGCAGCCAGAGAUAAAAAGUUUGGAAAAAGACCAGGAUCAAAAACAUUUAUCAUUUUUCUAGUUUUAACCACUUUCUGCCUAGUAAACAUUCUUACAAGAAAUGGCCAGAUUCCACCAAAAUAGUCACAUAAUGUCCAUAUUCAGUUCUGCUAGUAGAGCAGAUUAUUAUUAGCAUUUAUAUAGGGCCAACAUUUUUCACAGCACAGAUGGCAAUAAACUGGGCAGUCAAAUUGAUUAUCGUUAUAUUAUUAGCUCCAGCAGCAAUCAGUCUGCGAAUUUCUAACCUGACUAAUACUUUAUCAUUUCUCCUGUUUCUUGUCACUGACACACUUUACCAACACAUUUCAUUAUACAAUUGUGUGACCUAGUGUUCGAAUAUGGUCAACAGAAACCGACAGGAUUAGUGAAUGAAUACCAAAGCGUGAGCGUUUGACCUAAGUAGGAAAAAUGCCCCCAACUCCCAAUAUCCAUAUUCAAAACCACCUCACUAUUGUCAAAGAGAUUACAAAAGUAUUCAAGGAUUCAAAUACAUAAAAUGUGUGAGUUGGUCAAGUCUUA
Pelobates cultripes (western spadefoot toad) is the source of this 1706-nucleotide non-coding RNA. The record is from the annotation of a GenBank genome assembly. NCBI's taxonomy places the organism in Eukaryota, Metazoa, Chordata, Amphibia, Anura, Pelobatidae.